CCUACGGGUGGCAGCAGUGGGGAAUAUUGGGCAAUGGGCGCAAGCCUGACCCAGCAACGCCGCGUGAAGGAAGAAGGCUUUCGGGUUGUAAACUUCUUUUCUCAGGGACGAAGCAAGUGACGGUACCUGAGGAAUAAGCCACGGCUAACUACGUGCCUGCAGCCGCGGUAAUACGUAGGUGGCAAGCGUUAUCCGGAUUUACUGGGUGUAAAGGGCGUGUAGGCGGGGACGCAAGUCAGAUGGGAAAACCACGGGCGCAACCUGUGGCCUGCAUUUGAAACUGUGUUUCUUGAGUACUGGAGAGGCAGACGGAAUUCGUGGUGUAGCGGUGAAAUGCGUAGAUAUGAGGAGGAACACCAGUGGCGAAGGCAGUCUGCUGGACAGCAACUGACGCUGAGGCGCGAAAGCGUGGGGAGCGAACAGGAUUAGAUACCCUUGUAGUC
Molecule: ribosomal RNA, 443 nt
Filed under: uncultured bacterium
Lineage: Bacteria
Description: partial 16S ribosomal RNA
Rfam family: Bacterial small subunit ribosomal RNA
Source: RNAcentral